This 253-nucleotide ribosomal RNA is filed under the name uncultured bacterium. RNAcentral describes it as "partial 16S ribosomal RNA". It matches the Rfam family "Bacterial small subunit ribosomal RNA", at positions 524 to 776 of the family's 1533-position model. The record is from RNAcentral.
UACGAAGGGGGCUAGCGUUGUUCGGAAUUACUGGGCGUAAAGCGCGCGCAGGCGGUUCUUCAAGUCAGUGGUGAAAGCCCGGAGCUCAACUCCGGAACUGCCAUUGAAACUGUAGAACUUGAGGAUGAGAGAGGUGAGUGGAAUUCCCAGUGUAGAGGUGAAAUUCGUAGAUAUUCGCAAGAACACCAGUGGCGAAGGCGGCUCACUGGCCCGGUACUGACGCUGAUGCACGAAAGCGUGGGGAGCAAACAGG